AACGAACGCUGGCGGCAUGCCUAACACAUGCAAGUCGAACGAUGCCUUCGGGCAUAGUGGCGCACGGGUGCGUAACGCGUGGGAAUCUGCCCUUGGGUUCGGAAUAACUCAGAGAAAUUUGAGCUAAUACCGGAUGAUGACGUAAGUCCAAAGAUUUAUCGCCCAAGGAUGAGCCCGCGUAAGAUUAGCUAGUUGGUGGGGUAAAGGCCUACCAAGGCGACGAUCUUUAGCUGGUCUGAGAGGAUGAUCAGCCACACUGGGACUGAGACACGGCCCAGACUCCUACGGGAGGCAGCAGUGGGGAAUAUUGGACAAUGGGCGAAAGCCUGAUCCAGCAAUGCCGCGUGAGUGAUGAAGGCCUUAGGGUUGUAAGCUCUUUUACCAGGGUAUGAUAAUGACAGUACCUGGAGAAUAAGCU
This 418-nucleotide ribosomal RNA is filed under the name uncultured bacterium. RNAcentral describes it as "bacterial SSU rRNA". It matches the Rfam family "Bacterial small subunit ribosomal RNA", at positions 29 to 492 of the family's 1533-position model. The record is from RNAcentral.